RNAcentral lists this long non-coding RNA (779 nucleotides) under Sarcophilus harrisii (Tasmanian devil). Its description in RNAcentral is "lncRNA (ENSSHAG00000025766.1)". Lineage: Eukaryota; Metazoa; Chordata; Mammalia; Dasyuromorphia; Dasyuridae. The record is from RNAcentral.
AUAUAUGUAUGUAUAUAUAUAUAUGUGUGUGUGUGUGUACAUUGUAUGAGUAGGCAUGUGUAUGCAUAUUCAUAUUUACCUAUGUAAUCUCAUAAUGUAGAUGCUCUUUCUAAUAAUCCAAACCUAAAUCCAUCCAAAUUUGUCAUCUGGUAUAAUUCUUGUCCAUGUCAUCUGGCAAACUCAUCAUUAACCAUUAAUUAACACAUGCUAUAUUCCAGACACAGGGCUAGCUGCUGAAGACACAAAACAAAGAUGAAAUUGUCCUUAUCCUCAAAGCAUACAUGAUCUACUAUGUACAUAAAUAAGCAGCUACAAAAUAAAUGCAAGGAAAAUUAAUUUUUUUAAUUUUUUUGCAGGAAGGAUAUGAGCAAGCUAGGGGAAAUCUUAUAAAGUCUCCUAUCGGUGGUGGCACUUGAUAAACUGAUGCUAAGUGAAAAACCCUAAUAAACAGAGAUCUACAAUGGAAGAGCAGUUAUAUCUGUUGAAUCGCCAUCAAUCAAUAGAAUUCAUCUCUAUUUUAAAAGUGAUUGACAGUCUCCAGAUGACAACAUCUGCAGCAGAAGUUGACUCCUUUCCAGAAGUGGAAUCUAUCUUUGUAAUUCUGCAUGCUUUCCCAAUGCCUCAGCUAGUGCAGACUGUGCAAAGCUCCUUAUCUAGGACUCUAAGAAAGGAUAACAGGACUGCUCAAGUAUAAAAACACGACCAAGGGAUAAGUUAUCUGCCAUUAGACAGUUACACAAAUGGACAAAGAUAUAUGUUUGAGAUUCUUUUCCACUUUG